RNAcentral lists this long non-coding RNA (319 nucleotides) under Mytilus galloprovincialis (Mediterranean mussel). Lineage: Eukaryota; Metazoa; Mollusca; Bivalvia; Mytilida; Mytilidae. The record is from RNAcentral.
CAAUAUCUGUGUGUAAGUUGUGUAAUUGUGCAAGUUGCAUGUUAAUCUGAGAUGUGUCUAUGUGUUACAUGUUACUGACAGUUGUUAUCAUGAGUUUCAUGUUAAUGCUAACUGUUUGUGUGAGAUACUAGUUAACACUUAAUGAUUAUGUAAGUUCAUGUUAAUCCUAGAUGUUUUUGUGUGUACAUAUUACUGCCAGUUGCUAUCAUGAGUUUCAUGUUUAUAACACUAGUUGUUUGUGAGAGAUACUAGUUAACAAUUAAUGAUUAUGUAAGAUGCAUGUUAAUCUGAGAUGUUUCUGUGUAUUACGUGUAAUUGC